Molecule: non-coding RNA, 959 nt
Organism: Poecilia reticulata (guppy)
Lineage: Eukaryota; Metazoa; Chordata; Actinopteri; Cyprinodontiformes; Poeciliidae
Source: RefSeq, a predicted model, not a curated record
AAGAAUACAAGAAUUCUCAGUUUGCUUUUCAACUUGGUUGGAGGUAGAUCGAUUCCAGAGAGACGACUUCAAACUGACUUUACAAACCAUUUUAACUGUUCAUCAAGUCAAGAGGAUUUUGGAUUUCUUGUUACGAAUGGAGUUGAAAAGUUGCUAGGAUACAGCAUAAGAUGCAAAGACAUUUUAGUAGAGAGCUCUGAGGACGAGAGAUCAAAAUACUUUGGUUUGGACAUUAAACCCUGAAGACCAAAAGAACAUGGAAGAUUCCUCUAAGGAUGAAAAAGUUACCGUCAAAAUCACAACUCUGGAUUUUAACAGUAAAGGCAUCAGGAGACUUUGUUGUUUUUGAAAGUGUUAAUGUUCCUCAUGACCAAAUGGACCUGGAUAUGUUUGCUUGCUCAAAGGUUGAGUGAGUUACUUUAACAACCAGAGCUAACUCUUUGUCAACACAGACAUUACAAAACAGUCUCUUUACCAGUCUUCCCAAAAACAUGAAGUACCUGGAUGUGAAACCAAGAUGUGACAGCAAGGAAAUUGUGACAAAUAUGAAGAAAUAUUUGAGGAUUCAUCAUCAGAAGAAAACUCACAAGAUGAAAUUCAAAAUGACACAGAUGAUUUUGACAUCUUUCCAAUCUUGAGCUAUCCAUGUAAUUUUGCAAUUGUCCAACUCAUUCUUCAAUUGUUGGAUAAAUUCCACAACACAAAACAUUAUGAACUUGAGUUUUACUAGAAGCAAUGCACCAACCAGGAAGAUAUUCUCCCCCAGAUGAAGUCUUUGCAGUUCAGAAUGAAAUAAUUGAAACACUGAAGAUGAAGGAUGUAGUACAUCGGGACAAGCCAGGAGACUUUUUGUUUUAUGUGCCACACUGUCUGACCCAAUAUGUCAUUAACAGAAGUCUUCAUGUAUUAUUUGUAACGUUGGUCCUGUCAUUCCCCAUUUAAAAUAUUUCUCCUUUCUU